Molecule: long non-coding RNA, 1120 nt
Filed under: Capsicum annuum
Lineage: Eukaryota; Viridiplantae; Streptophyta; Magnoliopsida; Solanales; Solanaceae
Description: long non-coding RNA (CANN_LNC004079)
Source: RNAcentral
CCCAAAUUCAUUCUCAACCAACGAUUAACACAUGCUUCGAUUAUCAAUUUCACUUUUCAAAGUCCAAAACCAACACAUAACAAAUAUUCAAACAUACCAAACAUACAAAUUAUUCAUGAUUACGUAAAAUUAAGAGGAGCAAGGAUAGAAUUGGACCGUCCGAAUAUCGAUUUCCGUUGAUAAUAAUAUUUAAGAAAAUUCGAAUCCGAAAGCCUGAAUAGAAAACCUCAACAAUAACAACUCCAACUCGGUAACGCAGAACUGAAAUCCGAAACUGACCAACCCGAUUGAGACGAGUAGAAAUCAAGUUCCCAAAAUAUACGAGCAACUGAAGCGUCCGAAACAGAAAUCGCAACAAAGAACCAAACCCGAACGUGAUUUUGUAGGAAAACAAUUCGAACAGGCCGAUUCUACUAGAAAUUGGUUGCUGGUUAUUAUUUUUAGACGGCUAAGACUGAAAUUCGAGCUGGCAGCGUUUGAAUCCGUCGAACAGCAGUAGUAUCCGGCGAGUUUUAACGGAAAACUGGGAAAAAGAACUGAUUAUUGUCUUAAAUUCGGAUCGACUUGGGGUUGGGGUCGCUGUUUCACGUCGCCGGAGCUCCGACGAUCUCAGACAAUGGCGAGAACCACGAAAGCAGACCGGAUUCAGGUCAUACUCAGGCAAAAUUCGCCGAAACAGUACCCCUUUCCGAUUCUCUCCUUCGUUCUCAGAUCAUCUCUCUUGAGUCUCCCUUAAGUUCUCUCCUCUCCCUCGCGAUCUCCCUGUUGGUCUCUCUGUGUGUGAUUUUUGUGUGAUGGUGUGUUUCUCCGGUGUGAAUGGAUGAAGGUGGUUGUGUGUGCUACUGUGUGCGUGUAUGUGAUCUGGUAUCUGAGAGAGGUGCGCGUGGAGAGUGUGUGAUGGUGAGAGGAUUAUCGUUGAAGAUGAGUGCUCCUGUGUAUUCUGUGUGCUAAUGGACCAAGAAAAAAUGGAGGAUCUCCAUUGUUGUGGGAAGAAUCCGUGUCAAUAUGGUGAUGGAGGUGUAUUUUUUUUUAGUGGUGGGGCCCGUGGCUGUAUAUAUUGUUGUGAAUUCUUCCCUUUUUUUUUUGAUCUUUUGUGAAUUCAUAAAAAAACGUGAGAAAG